GACAGAGGUGCCGAGCGUUAGGCGGAAUCACUGGGCUUAAAGCGUGUGUAGGCGGGCCGUUAAGUACCUUGUGAAAUCCCCCGGCUCAACCGGGGAACGGCUGGGUAUACUGGCGGCCUUGAGAGACCUAGGGGCGAGCGGAACAAGCGGUGGAGCGGUGAAAUGCGUAGAUAUCGCUUGGAACGCCGACGGUGAAAACAGCUCGCUGGGGGUCUUCUGACGCUGAGACACGAAAGCCAGGGGAGCGAACGGG
RNAcentral lists this ribosomal RNA (253 nucleotides) under uncultured bacterium. RNAcentral describes it as "partial 16S ribosomal RNA". It matches the Rfam family "Bacterial small subunit ribosomal RNA", at positions 524 to 776 of the family's 1533-position model. The record is from RNAcentral.